GGCGUCGGUAGCUCAAUUGGCAAGAGCACCCGGUUGUGAUCCGGGAGGUCACGGGUUCGAUCCCCGUCCUUCGCCC
This 76-nucleotide transfer RNA is filed under the name Mycolicibacterium sp. CBMA 294. Its description in RNAcentral is "tRNA-His". It matches the Rfam family "tRNA". From Rfam's summary of the family: Transfer RNA (tRNA) molecules are approximately 80 nucleotides in length. Their secondary structure includes four short double-helical elements and three loops (D, anti-codon, and T loops). RNAcentral also lists the same sequence under 5 other names. Lineage: Bacteria; Bacillati; Actinomycetota; Actinomycetes; Mycobacteriales; Mycobacteriaceae. The record is from RNAcentral.